GACGAACGCUGGCGGCGUGCUUAACACAUGCAAGUUGAACGAGUGGCGAACGGGUGAGUAAUACGUGAGUAACCUGCCCUCUUUUUGGGAUAAGCCCUGGAAACGGGGUCUAAUACCGGAUAAAGGGGGAUGGGCUCGCGGCCUAUCAGCUUGUUGGUGGGGUGAUGGCCUACCAAGGCGGUGGCGGGUAGCCGGCCUGAGAGGGUGGCGGGAGACAUUAGGAGGGAGAUGAGGCCCAGACUCCUACGGGGGGAAGAAGUGGGGGAUAUUGCAAAAUGGGCGAAGGCCUGAUGCGGCGAAGCAGCGUGGGAGGUGAAGGCUUUCGGGUUGUAAACCUCUUUGGCUAUCGAAAGGGUAGGUGGAGAAGAAGCGCCGGCUAACUACAUGCCAGCCGCCGCGGUAAUUC
This 406-nucleotide ribosomal RNA is filed under the name uncultured bacterium. RNAcentral describes it as "partial 16S ribosomal RNA". It matches the Rfam family "Bacterial small subunit ribosomal RNA", at positions 28 to 526 of the family's 1533-position model. The record is from RNAcentral.